CAUCUUCGGGGCAGGGUGUAAUUCCCGACCGGCGGUAAUAGGAAACGCAACUUCCGACCAUUCACAUGGAGGAUUUUGCAGAUGUUUUCUUCAGCCCGCGAGCUUUUUUAUAAAGCAGGAUUUGGUGCGAUUCCAAAGCCGACAGUAUAGUCUGGAUGGGAGAAGGUG
RNAcentral lists this non-coding RNA (168 nucleotides) under Ureibacillus endophyticus. RNAcentral describes it as "FMN riboswitch (RFN element)". It matches the Rfam family "FMN riboswitch aptamer (RFN element)". From Rfam's summary of the family: The RFN element is a highly conserved domain that is found frequently in the 5'-untranslated regions of prokaryotic mRNAs that encode for flavin mononucleotide (FMN) biosynthesis and transport proteins. Lineage: Bacteria; Bacillati; Bacillota; Bacilli; Caryophanales; Caryophanaceae. The record is from RNAcentral.